GACGAACCGUACGAACGUUAUUCGGAAUUACUGGGCUUAAAGGGUGCGUAGGCUGCGCGGAAAGUUGGGUGUGAAAUCCCUCGGCUCAACCGAGGAACUGCGCCCAAAACUACCGUGCUCGAGGGAGACAGAGGUGAGCGGAACUUAGGGUGGAGCGGAUGAAAUGCGUUGAUAUCCUAAGGAACACCCGUGGCGAAAGCGGCGUCACUGGGUCUCUUCUGACGCUGAGGCACGAAAGCUAGGGUAGCGAACGGG
RNAcentral lists this ribosomal RNA (255 nucleotides) under uncultured bacterium. RNAcentral's name for it is "partial 16S ribosomal RNA". It matches the Rfam family "Bacterial small subunit ribosomal RNA", at positions 524 to 776 of the family's 1533-position model. The record is from RNAcentral.